GCUAUAAAGGCGCGCACACGUGGGACUGCAGUCUGAUAAGUAAGGAGGUGUAACAGCCCGGCUAGGACCCUUCAUGUGAAGAUAAGACAAAAAGCGUCUUUGUGAGAAGGCCGGAGGAUUUACAGUCGGAAUACUUCAAAGCUCUGCAGAACGGUUAUAAAAGAAUGAUUAUAUGAAUGGAGCUGAGUGCUUUCAAUAAAAAUUUACUUAAACACUUA
This is a long non-coding RNA of Centrocercus urophasianus (Greater sage-grouse), 218 nucleotides long. RefSeq lists it as uncharacterized. The transcript has 2 exons. Lineage: Eukaryota; Metazoa; Chordata; Aves; Galliformes; Phasianidae. The record is from RefSeq and is a predicted model, not a curated record.